AUUGAACGCUGGCGGCAGGCCUAACACAUGCAAGUCGAACGGUAACAGGAAGAAGCUUGCUUCUUUGCUGACGAGUGGCGGACGGGUGAGUAAUGUCUGGGAAACUGCCUGAUGGAGGGGGAUAACUACUGGAAACGGUAGCUAAUACCGCAUAACGUCGCAAGACCAAAGAGGGGGACCUUCGGGCCUCUUGCCAUCGGAUGUGCCCAGAUGGGAUUAGCUAGUAGGUGGGGUAACGGCUCACCUAGGCGACGAUCCCUAGCUGGUCUGAGAGGAUGACCAGCCACACUGGAACUGAGACACGGUCCAGACUCCUACGGGAGGCAGCAGUGGGGAAUAUUGCACAAUGGGCGCAAGCCUGAUGCAGCCAUUCCGCGUGUAUGAAGAAGGCCUUCGGGUUGUAAAGUACUUUCAGCGGGGAGGAAGGGAGUAAAGUUAAUACCUUUGCUCAUUGACGUUACCCGCAGAAGAAGCACCGGCUAACUCCGUG
This 490-nucleotide ribosomal RNA is filed under the name uncultured bacterium. RNAcentral describes it as "partial 16S ribosomal RNA". It matches the Rfam family "Bacterial small subunit ribosomal RNA", at positions 30 to 507 of the family's 1533-position model. The record is from RNAcentral.